RNAcentral lists this ribosomal RNA (1374 nucleotides) under uncultured bacterium. RNAcentral's name for it is "bacterial SSU rRNA". It matches the Rfam family "Bacterial small subunit ribosomal RNA". The record is from RNAcentral.
AGAGUUUGAUCCUGGCUCAGGACGAACGCUGGCGGCGCGCCUAACACAUGCAAGUCGAACGGAGCUUAGAGAGCUUGCUUUUUAAGCUUAGUGGCGAACGGGUGAGUAACGCGUGAGUAACCUGCCCUAGAGUGGGGGACAACAGUUGGAAACGACUGCUAAUACCGCAUAAGCCCACGGUGCCGCAUGACACUGAGGGAAAAGGAUUUAUUCGCUUUAGGAUGGACUCGCGUCCAAUUAGCUAGUUGGUGAGGUAACGGCCCACCAAGGCGACGAUUGGUAGCCGGACUGAGAGGUUGAACGGCCACAUUGGGACUGAGACACGGCCCAGACUCCUACGGGAGGCAGCAGUGGGGGAUAUUGCACAAUGGGGGAAACCCUGACGCAGCGACGCCGCGUGGAGGAAGAAGGUUUUCGGAUUGUAAACUCCUGUCGUUAGGGACGAUAAUGACGGUACCUAACAAGAAAGCACCGGCUAACUACGUGCCAGCAGCCGCGGUAAAACGUAGGGUGCAAGCGUUGUCCGGAAUUACUGGGUGUAAAGGGAGCGCAGGCGGGAAGACAAGUUGGAAGUGAAAACCAUGGGCUCAACCCAUGAAUUGCUUUCAAAACUGUUUUUCUUGAGUAGUGCAGAGGUAGAUGGAAUUCCCGGUGUAGCGGUGGAAUGCGUAGAUAUCGGGAGGAACACCAGUGGCGAAGGCGGUCUACUGGGCACCAACUGACGCUGAGGCUCGAAAGCAUGGGUAGCAAACAGGAUUAGAUACCCUGGUAGUCCAUGCCGUAAACGAUGAUUACUAGGUGUUGGGGGAUUGACCCCCUCAGUGCCGCAGUUAACACAAUAAGUAAUCCACCUGGGGAGUACGACCGCAAGGUUGAAACUCAAAGGAAUUGACGGGGGCCCGCACAAGCAGUGGAGUAUGUGGUUUAAUUCGAAGCAACGCGAAGAACCUUACCAGGUCUUGACAUCCAACUAACGAAGCAGAGAUGCAUUAGGUGCCCUUCGGGGAAAGUUGAGACAGGUGGUGCAUGGUUGUCGUCAGCUCGUGUCGUGAGAUGUUGGGUUAAGUCCCGCAACGAGCGCAACCCUUGUGAUUAGUUGCUACGCAAGAGCACUCUAAUCAGACUGCCGUUGACAAAACGGAGGAAGGUGGGGACGACGUCAAAUCAUCAUGCCCUUUAUGACCUGGGCUACACACGUACUACAAUGGUCGUUAACAGAGGGAAGCAAUACCGCGAGGUGGAGCAAAACCCUAAAAACGGUCUCAGUUCAGAUUGUAGGCUGCAACUCGCCUACAUGAAGUUGGAAUUGCUAGUAAUCGCGGAUCAGCAUGCCGAGGUGAAUACGUUCCCGGGCCUUGCACACACCGCCCGUCA